CCUACGGGAGGCUGCAGUGGGGAAUAUUGCACAAUGGGCGCAAGCCUGAUGCAGCCAUGCCGCGUGUGUGAAGAAGGCCUUCGGGUUGUAAAGCACUUUCAGCGGGGAGGAAGGCGGUGAGGUUAAUAACCUCAUCGAUUGACGUUACCCGCAGAAGAAGCACCGGCUAACUCCGUGCCAGCAGCCGCGGUAAUACGGAGGGUGCAAGCAUUAAUCGGAAUUACUGGGCGUAAAGCGCACGCAGGCGGUCUGUCAAGUCGGAUGUGAAAUCCCCGGGCUCAACCUGGGAACUGCAUUCGAAACUGGCAGGCUAGAGUCUUGUAGAGGGGGGUAGAAUUCCAGGUGUAGCGGUGAAAUGCGUAGAGAUCUGGAGGAAUACCGGUGGCGAAGGCGGCCCCCUGGACAAAGACUGACGCUCAGGUGCGAAAGCGUGGGGAGCAAACAGGAUUAGAUACCCUUGUAGUC
This 465-nucleotide ribosomal RNA is filed under the name uncultured Klebsiella sp. RNAcentral's name for it is "bacterial SSU rRNA". It matches the Rfam family "Bacterial small subunit ribosomal RNA", at positions 338 to 795 of the family's 1533-position model. The record is from RNAcentral. Lineage: Bacteria; Pseudomonadati; Pseudomonadota; Gammaproteobacteria; Enterobacterales; Enterobacteriaceae.